GAAGAUGUGAUUCAUAUUUACGCGAUUCGUUGGGACAUUGAGGUCUUCUUCAAAUGCAACAAAUCGCUGCUUCGUUUGCAAAAAGAGUUUCAAGGCCGCUCCUGUGAGUGAGCUUCUAUCCAGCAUCGUCCAUGUGACUGGAAUAGGGGCUAACAAGUAGUGGAAUACGCUGUCUCAUCUCCGCCUGGGGUGAGCUGAAGAAGAUAAUCAGGCUGACCUUAACGAUAGCCGGUUACGGGGCGAUCGCUAAGGUGACAUCAAAACUGUAACUACACCCGUAGAAGCAUAUGUGCCGUUAUCUUCGGACAGGGGUUCAAAUCCCCUU
This 325-nucleotide transfer-messenger RNA is filed under the name Paenibacillaceae bacterium. It matches the Rfam family "transfer-messenger RNA", at positions 82 to 374 of the family's 374-position model. Rfam says of the family: Bacterial tmRNA, also known as 10Sa RNA or SsrA, is named for its dual tRNA and mRNA-like properties. The record is from RNAcentral. Lineage: Bacteria; Bacillati; Bacillota; Bacilli; Caryophanales; Paenibacillaceae.